AGCAGCCGCGGUAAUUCCAGCUCCAAUAGCGUAUAUUAAAGUUGUUGCAGUUAAAAAGCUCGUAGUUGAAUUUCGGGAUCAAUAUGUUGGUCGUGCCUCGGUACGUACUAGCAUAUUGGUUUCUCCUUUCUGAAGAACCAUGAUGUCAUUUAUUUGGUGUCGUGGGGAAUCAGGACUGUUACUUUGAAAAAUUAGAGUGUUUAAAGCAGGCUCACGCUUGAAUACAUUAGCAUGGAAUAAUGAAAUAGGACGUUUGAUUCUAUUUUGUUGGUUUCUAGGAUCGACGUAAUGAUUAAUAGGGAUAGUUGGGGGCAUUAGUAUUCAAUUGUCAGAGGUGAAAUUCUUGGAUUUAUUGAAGACUAACUACUGCGAAAGCAUUUGCCAAGGAUGUUUUCAUUAAUCAAGAACGAAAGUUAGGGGAUCGAAGACGAUCAGAUACCGUCGUAGUCUUAACCAUAAACUAUGCCGACUAGGGAUCGGAUGAUGUUAAUUUUUUAAUGUA
Molecule: unclassified non-coding RNA, 502 nt
Filed under: uncultured Glomus
Lineage: Eukaryota; Fungi; Glomeromycota; Glomeromycetes; Glomerales; Glomeraceae
Description: SSU rRNA
Rfam family: Eukaryotic small subunit ribosomal RNA
Source: RNAcentral